GGUGCAGACACAUAAAUGCCCAGAAGAAAAGGGCAGAGAGAGGAAAGGAAAUGAAAAAAGAGAAAUGCAGGGGGAGACAGAGGAACGAAGAAAGGAGAGAAGAAUGAACGAACUGUGAAAAGUCAAAGUUCUUCUCUAGUCUUUUCCGGGAGAGUUCCCAAAGAGGCUCUCAGUAGAUUACCGUAUUUGACCCACGCUUAUGAAGUAUAAAAUGCUAAACUUGGAAGAGACCGUAGAGACCCCCUGGUCCAAUCUCCAUAUUUUAUAGACGAGGAAACAGCUGCUCCAUGUGGGAAAAGGACGUGCCUAAUAUCAGAUACAUCAAACAUUGUAGAAGCCCAGCUGAUGUGAAAAACAGAUACAGCUUUUCAGAAAUUAGACUCAGCCUUUCCUUGACAGAAUUCCUUGAUAGAUUUCUGUGUGAGUCCAUGAAAAUAUUACUCCUUAGGCAAUGCUUUGUAUAAGGAAUUAUAUAACUUAGCAUUCAAAAUAGAAAAGUUGAGAAAAUGACUAUUGCAAGACUGAGAAAUAAUAAAUGCUAAUAACUUCACAUUUAUUUUGUGAUGUC
This is a long non-coding RNA of Orcinus orca (killer whale), 568 nucleotides long. RefSeq lists it as uncharacterized. NCBI's taxonomy places the organism in Eukaryota, Metazoa, Chordata, Mammalia, Artiodactyla, Delphinidae. The record is from RefSeq and is a predicted model, not a curated record. The transcript has 3 exons.